Long non-coding RNA from Homo sapiens (human), 2101 nucleotides. Ensembl annotates it as long intergenic non-protein coding RNA 630. The record is from Ensembl. NCBI's taxonomy places the organism in Eukaryota, Metazoa, Chordata, Mammalia, Primates, Hominidae.
GGAGAACCGCCUUCAGGCGUUUGGACUCAGUGGAGGUUGUGAGUGCCCAGCAGUGUGGCCUGAAUCUCCGUGGGGUUUAGGGAGACGAAAGGACCCCAGAUCGACGUCCCCUCGUUCCCACUUUGGGGAUCGGCGCUCUGGCUGUUUCGUGAAGGAGAGAGAGGUUGAUUCCAUACCCUGGCUAUUGUGAAUAAUGCUGCAGUGAACAUGGGAGUACAUACAUCUGUUUGAGGAACUCAGAGUGGUUUUCCAGAUGGGAAUCACAUUGCUCUCUGUCCCUGAGAUCUUGCUGGAGACAGGGCUACUCAGUCCCUCUUUGCCAGAUUGAUACUGGAAAAGCAGUUUCUAUUGAGCCCCCAAAUGAAGAGUGAGUGCAGAUGAAGAGGAGGCAGGACUCACAAGCCCUUGAACUUUAUUCCAGAUCUGUUAGCACCUACAGGACCCUGCACCAGGAUUUCAUCUGUACUAUCAGCUUCUUCAAAGAGAGAGAGGUUGUUGAAUUGAUAUUGGAAAAGCAGUUUCCCAUUGAGUCUCAAAUGAAGAGAGUGCAGAUGAAGAGGAGCUCUUCAUGUGGAUGUCUGAGCUCAUAUCAGGUGUCUGAAAGAGGCAGAUUCUGAGGAUUUGGGUCAUGAUGGCUGCCAAAGCUUCUACUCCUGACUUAAAGGGCAACAAUCCUAGGAGACCACCAGCACUUACAUCCCUGGUAGGACAUGACACCUGCUUAUGGCUCAGAAGUGACAAAAGAGAAUUAUCAGGAUGGCAGUCCUUAUAACCAGAUGCUUAUCAACAUUCUUCACUACAUUCUGAAGAUGAAUUUCUACAAGGGAAAUUGUUUAUAUUUGUUGUUGGGGAUAGAUAAGGAAAGAAGAAAAAGGCUCUGGUGAGAAACCCAUUGUACCUUCUGGAUAUGAUCACUACCCAAUUUUAUCAGUGUCAUUGAUCACUAACCCAGUGCCUCGUAUGGUGCCAGGCACAGAGUUACUCCAAGAAUGUACAAUAAUGGCUGGAUUCUCUUUCUCCCUGUGCAACUCUUCAUGCAUGUGACUGAACUUAUAUUAAGUGUCUGAAGGAGGUUCGUUCUGAGGAUCUGGGACAUGAUGGGUGCUGAAGCUUCUACUCAAGAUUUGAAGGGCAGCUGUCCUCAGGAGACCCCUGGCACUUCCCUCCAUGGUGGGAUGUGAUGCCUGAUUCCAGUGAGUUCAUAGAGCUGAACAAAAGUACGUUGUGGAAUAGCUCCUGUGAGGUUCACAACAUAGUCCGGAAGAUGAGAAACUACUUUUUUUAGUAACCUGGAUUCCCAUCUAAGAGAUGCCUUACUUUAUCGUAAAGCAAUGAGUUGUUCACUUGAGGAGGGAACUUCAUGUUUAACAUGUAUUUGCAACAAAUUUACAUACAUUUUCUGCCUGUAUGAAUAGUUGUCAGUGAUGCCCAUGAAUUUCUCAGAUGGAUGUUGAAGUAUACAGUUAGAAGGUUAGAAGAUCUUCCUAGCAAUCUGUGAUUACGGUAUGCAUUCUUCCAUGGUUUCUACGUUUUUGUCUAUUCUAUAAUGAAAUUUUCUAAGAAGCCAGAAAUUAAUUAAGUGCUACCUAAAAAUAUCAAAAUGUCAGGUACAAGAAUUUGGCAUUUUCAAAAUUAGUAAUUACAAUGUAAGUUUGCCCUAUUAUAAUGAUACCCAGCUAUGUCCAGUAACAUAACUAGAUUGUUCUGAAUACCGUUAUUAUUUCCCAAUAAUACAAACAUCACAAUUUCAGUUCUGUAGUACCUGGCCUACCUACCCUUCCCACUGCCUUGCCCCAGGUAAACACAGCAUGCCUGUCACUAUACAUUAUUUUACAUGCCUGGAAAUAUAUUUAAAUGGAAUCAUAGAGGUGGUUUCUUUUUUUUUUUUUUAUCAACACCUGGCUUUUUUCAUUCACUCCACUUAUUUUUAUAUUUAUCCAUUUUAUUGCAUUUAUCUAUUGAUAUACUUCAUUCUUUUUGAUUGCUAAAUACUAUUGCGGUAUACAACCACACUAAACAUUUUAUUAUCCAUCCAUUUGUCGAUGGACAUUUUGGUUGUUUCUCAUUUGGGGCUCUUGUAAAUAAAGCUGCUAUGAACAUU